GAUGAACGCUGGCGGCGUGCCUAAUACAUGCAAGUCGAGCGAACGGACGAGAAGCUUGCUUCUCUGAUGUUAGCGGCGGACGGGUGAGUAACACGUGGAUAACCUACCUAUAAGACUGGGAUAACUUCGGGAAACCGGAGCUAAUACCGGAUAAUAUUUUGAACCGCAUGGUUUAAAAGUGAAAGACGGUCUUGCUGUCACUUAUAGAUGGAUCCGCGCUGCAUUAGCUAGUUGGUAAGGUAACGGCUUACCAAGGCAACGAUGCAUAGCCGACCUGAGAGGGUGAUCGGCCACACUGGAACUGAGACACGGUCCAGACUCCUACGGGAGGCGGCAGUAGGGAAUCUUCCGCAAUGGGCGAAAGCCUGACGGAGCAACGCCGCGUGAGUGAUGAAGGUCUUCGGAUCGUAAAACUCUGUUAUUAGGGAAGAACAUAUGUGUAAGUAACUGUGCACAUCUUGACGGUACCUAAUCAGAAAGCCACGGCUAACUACGUGCCAGCAGCCGCGGUAAUACGUAGGUGGCAAGCGUUAUCCGGAAUUAUUGGGCGUAAAGCGCGCGUAGGCGGUUUUUUAAGUCUGAUGUGAAAGCCCACGGCUCAACCGUGGAGGGUCAUUGGAAACUGGAAAACUUGAGUGCAGAAGAGGAAAGUGGAAUUCCAUGUGUAGCGGUGAAAUGCGCAGAGAUAUGGAGGAACACCAGUGGCGAAGGCGACUUUCUGGUCUGUAACUGACGCUGAUGUGCGAAAGCGUGGGGAUCAAACAGGAUUAGAUACCCUGGUAGUCCACGCCGUAAACGAUGAGUGCUAAGUGUUAGGGGGUUUCCGCCCCUUAGUGCUGCAGCUAACGCAUUAAGCACUCCGCCUGGGGAGUACGACCGCAAGGUUGAAACUCAAAGGAAUUGACGGGGACCCGCACAAGCGGUGGAGCAUGUGGUUUAAUUCGAAGCAACGCGAAGAACCUUACCAAAUCUUGACAUCCUUUGACAACUCUAGAGAUAGAGCCUUCCCCUUCGGGGGGGCAAAGUGACAGGUGGUGCAUGGUUGUCGUCAGCUCGUGUCGUGAGAUGUUGGGUUAAGUCCCGCAACGAGCGCAACCCUUAAGCUUAGUUGCCAUCAUUAAGUUGGGCACUCUAAGUUGACUGCCGGUGACAAACCGGAGGAAGGUGGGGAUGACGUCAAAUCAUCAUGCCCCUUAUGAUCUGGGCUACACACGUGCUACAAUGGACAAUACAAAGGGCAGCGAAACCGCGAGGUCAAGCAAAUCCCAUAAAGUUGUUCUCAGUUCGGAUUGUAGUCUGCAACUCGACUACAUGAAGCUGGAAUCGCUAGUAAUCGUAGAUCAGCAUGCUACGGUGAAUACGUUCCCGGGUCU
Molecule: ribosomal RNA, 1373 nt
Filed under: uncultured bacterium
Lineage: Bacteria
Description: bacterial SSU rRNA
Rfam family: Bacterial small subunit ribosomal RNA
Source: RNAcentral